This 64-nucleotide transfer RNA is filed under the name Raeta sp. RNAcentral's name for it is "tRNA-Glu". The record is from RNAcentral. Lineage: Eukaryota; Metazoa; Mollusca; Bivalvia; Venerida; Anatinellidae.
UUUUCUAUAGUAUAAAAAGUACGUUCGUUUUUCGAACUUAAAGUAGGCUAUAGCCUUAGAAAAG